This is a long non-coding RNA of Papilio polytes (common Mormon), 277 nucleotides long. RefSeq lists it as uncharacterized. The transcript has 3 exons. The record is from RefSeq and is a predicted model, not a curated record. NCBI's taxonomy places the organism in Eukaryota, Metazoa, Arthropoda, Insecta, Lepidoptera, Papilionidae.
CCUGCCGCUGCUGCAGCAGCUGCGCGACCUCAUCGCGGACCAGGUGCCGCUGCUCAGGAUGGGUCUGGAGGUGCACAAGGCGCGCAUCGCGCCGGCGCUGCAGGGGCUGCACGAGCACAUGGAGCUGUGCUUCCAGCGCGUGCAGAGCCACGUGCACCAGCGCUACGGCCGCAAGAACUGUGAGCUGGAGACGGAGCCGGUGGAGCGGCGCCGCGCGCUACGCGACAGCAUACAGACGGAGCCCGGCAGCGCCAACAACAGGAUAUCUGACAUCUCC